Molecule: RNA transcript, 3125 nt
Organism: Numida meleagris (helmeted guineafowl)
Lineage: Eukaryota; Metazoa; Chordata; Aves; Galliformes; Numididae
Gene: ATAD3A
Gene name: ATPase family, AAA domain containing 3A
Exons: 17
Source: RefSeq, a predicted model, not a curated record
CGCGUGGCUCGGUGCGGCGCGUGGCCCGGGGUGCAGCCGGCGGCGUCAUGUCCUGGCUCUUCGGCAUCAACCGCGGCUCGGCCCCGGCGGGCGGCGACGCGGCGCAGGGCGGGGCCGGGCUCUCCCUGCCGCCGGGCCCGGGUGGUGGCGGGCCGGCGGGGAGCGGAGGGGCGGGGGAUCGCAACACGCCCAAGGACAAAUGGAGCAACUUCGACCCCACGGGCCUGGAGCGGGCAGCCAAGGCGGCGAGGGAGCUGGACGCGUCCCGCCACGCGAAGGAUGCGCUCAGCCUGGCCCAGAUGCAAGAGCAAACCCUGCAGCUGGAGCAGCAAACCAAGCUGAAGGAAUACGAAGCUGCCAUAGAACAACUGAAGAAUGAGCAGAUACGGGUACAAGCAGAAGAGAGACGAAAAACACUCAGCGAGGAAACAAAACAGCAUCAAGCACGAGCCCAAUACCAGGACAAAUUAGCACGGCAGCGCUACGAUGAACAGAUGCGACAGCAGCAACUCGCUAAUGAAGAGAAUCUGAGGAAGCAGGAAGAAUCAGUACAGAAGCAAGAAGCCAUGAGGCGUGCCACGAUAGAGCACGAGAUGGAGCUACGGCAUAAGAACGAAAUGCUGCGCGUCGAAGCAGAGGCAAGAGCCCGUGCCAAGGCUGAGAGGGAGAACGCAGACAUCAUUCGGGAGCAGAUCCGCUUAAAAGCUGCUGAGCAUCGCCAGACAGUGCUGGAGUCCCUCAAGACAGCAGGGAUGCUCUUUGGGGAAGGAUUCCGUGCCUUCGUGACAGACUGGGAUAAGGUCACGGCCACGGUGGCUGGCCUAACCCUGCUGGCUGUGGGAGUUUACUCUGCCAAGAAUGCCACUGCAGUAGCAGGACGAUACAUAGAAGCACGUUUGGGUAAACCUUCACUGGUGAGGGAGACCUCACGCAUUACUGUCCUGGAGGCACUGAAGCAUCCUAUCAAGGUUGGUAAGCGUCUCACCAGCAAGGCUCAGGAUGCCCUUGAAGGAGUUGUUCUCAGUCCACAAUUAGAAGCACGUGUGAGAGAUAUUGCCAUAGCAACAAGAAAUACAAAAAAGAACAAAAGCCUAUACCGGAAUAUUCUGAUGUAUGGUCCUCCUGGCACUGGAAAAACACUUUUUGCCAAGAAAUUAGCCGUGCACUCGGGCAUGGAUUACGCCAUCAUGACGGGUGGUGAUGUUGCCCCCAUGGGGCGGGAAGGAGUGACUGCCAUCCAUAAGCUCUUUGACUGGGCAAACACCAGUAGGAGAGGCCUCUUGCUGUUUGUGGAUGAAGCAGACGCAUUUCUGCGGAAGAGAGCCACGGAGAAAAUCAGUGAAGAUCUCAGAGCAACAUUAAAUGCAUUCCUUCACAGAACAGGGCAGCACAGCAACAAGUUUAUGCUUGUUUUAGCAAGCAACCAACCCGAGCAGUUUGACUGGGCUAUCAAUGACAGAAUAGAUGAAAUGGUGAACUUCGAUCUGCCCCAGCUAGAAGAGCGAGAGCGGCUCGUGAGGAUGUAUUUUGAUAGGCAUGUCUUGAAGCCAGCCACAGAGGGCAAACAACGUUUGAAGCUGGCCCAGUUUGACUACGGCAAAAAGUGCUCGGAGAUUGCCAGGCUGACAGAGGGCAUGUCUGGCCGAGAGAUCUCCCAGCUUGCUGUGGCAUGGCAGGUGUCUCAGAGCAGAGCCUUAACCAGUGUCUGGGCAGCAGAGCUGAAUGCACAGGGAGCACCGUGUCAACCUUCAUUCUUCAUUCUGCCAUAGACUUGGCCUUCCCUUUUGUCCUUGUUCUUUUCCAUUCCCCACACCUAAUCCCUGAUGAAUGUAGCACGGAUUGGAUGCAUUUACACACUACAAAAUUGCCUUUGAAUCAGUUACAGAAAUGUGCAGACUUCCCAGUUUUGCACCCUGACCUUAAACCCACUGAUAGGCUUCAGAUAAAACAGCAAAGAAACCCUCCACUUUUCCAAGCCCUCAUUAUAAGAAUGAGGAUCUCUUUCCUGUUUUAUUUUUGACAGGGCUGCUUUCUUUAGAAGUGUGGUUCAAAGGCAACAGCUCAGCUUGUUGGCCAAGUGGGAGCAGGCUUGGGUCUGGGCUGAAAUGAAGCGCUGGGUCGUUCAGGCUGCUCUUGUCAUCUGUGCUCCAUCCUCCUCCUUGCCCCAACACACAUUGUUUUCGGGUUAUUUCAGCACUGGAUUUGAGUUACAAAACACACAUCGUUGCACUGUAGAAAAGGGGUUAAAAUCCAUCCACGCAUGAGGCAGAGGUAUGAAUACAAAUGAACCCAGCACCAUCUCAGUGUGUGCAGCUCCUCCCAGAAGGGACAGCUGCUUCCCCCAUUUGCUUUCUUGACAGCCAGGGCCUGAGGCUUUCUAUAAAUAGAAAGUCAUUGAGAAAAUCAGCGGAGCGUGAACUGCACAGCUUUGCAGGAGUUUCCACGGUCGGAAUUCUGGGCUGUGCAGAGGCAGGGAGGGAGGAGGGCAGGCUCUGUGCAACGCUCAGCCCAGGAGGGGGUGUGGGCAGAGGUUUGGGGCAAAGAGCUGGCUCGUGUCGGGCUGCUUUGCUGGCAUUGCCGUGCCAGGAACGCGUUACGGGGCUGCUCGCAGGAGUGCUGGCACAGGGACUCACCCGAUAUAGAAAUCUGCAGCUUGGUCUUGCGUUGUUACCUUGGAGAUAAGUUGCUCAGCUCACGGUGCCAGCAGCCUCCCCUUCCUUCUGGGCUGCGGGUGCGCGCUGCUGUCUGCACAGAGUGGCACUGGGCUCCCGUGUUCCUCGUGUGCGGACCAGCAGGACAGCCCCUUGCUGCAGGGGAAUGGCACUCAAGGCUUUUACCCUCAUGUGCCACUGGAAGCGUGGGCUGUUCAGCAAGGAUGGAGGUGGUUUUCAGCCCUUUCUGCAAGGAACGGCGUCAAACUCGUGCUGCCCAGCGAAGCAGCAACAGGAGCGAGCGUUGGAUUGAUUCUCAAGCAGAAUCUGAGAGGCUGCAGCGUAUGCCUCAGAGGACGGCGUUCUGACCGAGGCCAUGAUCGAUGCCCGGGUCGCUGACGCUGUGCAGCAGCACAGGCAGAAGAUGGAGUGGCUGAAAGCAGAGGGCACUGAAGCGAGCAAAGAAGGCAUCAG